Molecule: ribosomal RNA, 243 nt
Filed under: uncultured bacterium
Lineage: Bacteria
Description: partial 16S ribosomal RNA
Rfam family: Bacterial small subunit ribosomal RNA
Source: RNAcentral
GAUCAUGGCUCAGGAUGAACGCUAGCUACAGGCUUAACACAUGCAAGUCGAGGGGAAACGACGUCGAAAGUCUUGCUUUUGAUGGGCGUCGACCGGCGCACGGGUGAGUAACGCGUAUCCAACCUGCCCACCACUUGGGGAUAACCGUUGCGAAAGUAAGACUAAUACCCAAUGACAUCCCACGAAGAACAUCUGAAUGGGAUUAAAGAUUUAUCGGUGAUGGAUGGGGAUGCGUCUGAUUAG